AACGAACGCUGGCGGCAUGCCUAACACAUGCAAGUCGAACGAUACCUUCGGGUCUAGUGGCGCACGGGUGCGUAACGCGUGGGAACCUGCCCUUAGGUUCGGAAUAACUCCCCGAAAGGGGUGCUAAUACCGGAUAAUGUCUUCGGACCAAAGAUUUAUCGCCUUUGGAUGGGCCCGCGUUGGAUUAGCUAGUUGGUAGGGUAAAAGCCUACCAAGGCGACGAUCCAUAGCUGGUCUGAGAGGAUGAUCAGCCACACUGGGACUGAGACACGGCCCAGACUCCUACGGGAGGCAGCAGUGGGGAAUAUUGGACAAUGGGCGAAAGCCUGACCCAGCAAUGCCGCGUGAGUGAUGAAGGCCUUAGGGUUGUAAAGCUCUUUUACCCGGGAUGAUAAUGACAGUACCGGGAGAAUAAGCGCCGGCUAACUCCGUG
Molecule: ribosomal RNA, 433 nt
Filed under: uncultured bacterium
Lineage: Bacteria
Description: partial 16S ribosomal RNA
Rfam family: Bacterial small subunit ribosomal RNA
Source: RNAcentral